This 253-nucleotide ribosomal RNA is filed under the name uncultured bacterium. RNAcentral's name for it is "partial 16S ribosomal RNA". It matches the Rfam family "Bacterial small subunit ribosomal RNA", at positions 524 to 776 of the family's 1533-position model. The record is from RNAcentral.
UACGUAUGGAGCAAGCGUUAUCCGGAUUUACUGGGCGUAAAGGGAGCGUAGGCGGCCUGCCAAGUCUGAUGUGAAAUACCGGGGCUCAACCCCGGGGCUGCAUUGGAAACUGGCAGCCUCGAGUGCGGUAGGGGUAAGCGGAAUUCCCGGUGUAGCGGUGGAAUGCGCAGAUAUCGGGAAGAACACCGAUGGCGAAGGCAGCUUACUGGGCCGACACUGACGCUGAGGCGCGAAAGCUAGGGGAGCGAACAGG